AGGCCUUUGGGCUGUAAACCUCUUUUCUCAAGGAAGAAGAUCUGACGGUACUUGAGGAAUAAGCCACGGCUAAUUCCGUGCCAGCAGCCGCGGUAAUACGGGAGUGGCAAGCGUUAUCCGGAAUUAUUGGGCGUAAAGCGUCCGCAGGCGGCCGUUUAAGUCUGUUGUUAAAUCGUGGAGCUCAACUCCAUCACGGCAAUGGAAACUGUUCGGCUUGAGUAUGGUAGGGGCAGAGGGAACUUCCGGUGUAGCGGUGAAAUGCGUAGAUAUCGGAAAGAACACCAGUGGCGAAAGCGCUCUGCUGGGCCAUU
RNAcentral lists this ribosomal RNA (311 nucleotides) under Candidatus Synechococcus spongiarum. Its description in RNAcentral is "bacterial SSU rRNA". It matches the Rfam family "Bacterial small subunit ribosomal RNA", at positions 412 to 738 of the family's 1533-position model. Lineage: Bacteria; Bacillati; Cyanobacteriota; Cyanophyceae; Synechococcales; Synechococcaceae. The record is from RNAcentral.